UUUCCUAACUGGGAGGAAGGGGGUGUGGAAAGAAAAGCGCUUCCAGGGCGAGGCUCAUCCAUUGCACUCCAGGUGUGCUGACCCCUGCGAUUUCCCCAAAUGCGGGAAACUACUGCAUAAUUUGUGGUAGUGGGGGACUGCGUUGGCGCUCUUCCCUG
Erpetoichthys calabaricus (reedfish) is the source of this 158-nucleotide small nuclear RNA. Its record names the gene U1. It matches the Rfam family "U1 spliceosomal RNA". From Rfam's summary of the family: U1 is a small nuclear RNA (snRNA) component of the spliceosome (involved in pre-mRNA splicing). Its 5' end forms complementary base pairs with the 5' splice junction, thus defining the 5' donor site of an intron. Lineage: Eukaryota; Metazoa; Chordata; Cladistia; Polypteriformes; Polypteridae. The record is from Ensembl.